RNAcentral lists this long non-coding RNA (645 nucleotides) under Marmota monax (woodchuck). Lineage: Eukaryota; Metazoa; Chordata; Mammalia; Rodentia; Sciuridae. The record is from RNAcentral.
AAAUGGGCUAAAGAAUUGAACAGACACUUCACAGAAGAAGAAAUAUAAUUGAUCAACAAAUAUAUGAAAAAAUAUUGAACGUCUCUAGCAAUUAGAGAAAUGCAAAUCAAAACUAUGCUAAAAUUUCAUCUUAUUCCUGUCAGAAUGUCAAUCAUCAAGAAGACAGGCAACAAUAAAUGUUGAUGAGGAUGUGGUGAAAAAGGUACACUAACACAUUGCUGGUGGGACUGCAAAUUGGUGCAACCACUAUGGAAAGCAGUAUGGAGAUACCUCAGAAAAUUGGGAAUGGAACCACAAUUUGACUCAGCUAUCUCACUCUCGGUUUAUAUCCCAAGGACUUAAAAUCAGCAUACUAUAGUAAUGAAGCUCUGUCAAUGUUUAUAGCAGCUCAAUUCACAAUAGCUAGACUAUGGAACCAACCAACCUAGGUGUUCUUCAAUAGAUGAAUGGAUAAAGAAAAUGUGGUGUAUAUGUUCAAUGGAAUAUUACUCAGCUUUAAAGAAGAAUGAAAUUAUUUAUGCCAGUAAAUGAAUGGAGUUAGAGAAUAUCAUGCUAAGUGAAAUAAGCCAAUCUCAAAAAACCAAAGGCUGAAUGUUUUCUCUAACAUGCGGAUGCUAAUUCACAAUUAGGCAGGGGGAACUAGGG